Long non-coding RNA from Numida meleagris (helmeted guineafowl), 8618 nucleotides. RefSeq lists it as uncharacterized. NCBI's taxonomy places the organism in Eukaryota, Metazoa, Chordata, Aves, Galliformes, Numididae. The record is from RefSeq and is a predicted model, not a curated record. The transcript is spliced from 5 exons.
UGCUGUAGUUUAUCUUCUCUGUUUCUGAUUAUUUCUCUUCUACCACUUCCUCUUCAGCUGUCCAAAAUUUCUGAGCCCACUCCUUCUCAUUCCAGGAAGGGGCACAUUUAAUUUUUGCAGCAGUCACCUAUGGCAAUCCCAUCUGUGGUGCAAAUUUUCUGCCACAUUAAAGUGUAAAUACCCGAAUUGGUGCUGUGGGUGCAGUUGUGUUUGAAUGCGCUCCUGUGGCCAUGGUGAAAGAAGGUAGUCAUGCCCAAAUGAGAAAUCUCGUGUCUAGCUUACAGAAUAGUGCUCUUUCCUGAAGCCACAGAUUAUAGAUUCCUUUGGAUUGCAGGUGAUAAAUACACUGUCUGCUGAGCAUGUGUGUGUUCUGGUUUCUCCUGAGACAGAGUUGAUCUUUUUUCCUUCAAAAUGUCUGGUAUGAUGCUACGUGUUGGCUUUGGGAAAAGAACCAUGAUGAAAACACAGCAAUGUUUUUGUUGUUGCUGAGUAGCGCUGUAGGGAGCCAAGGACAUUUCAACUUCUUAUACUGUCCCACCAAUGAAGAAUGCUGAGGGGGACACAAGGAGCAGACAGGGGAGAUAAUCAGGACAGCUGAUCUAAACUGGCAAAAGGGAUAUUUCACACCACAUGAUAUAAUGCAACAACAACAACAACAACAAAGCAUUAAAACCUGUGGGAAGUUGGCAGGGGGUAGGGGAACAGCAGCUGCUCAGGGACUGGAUGGACUUCGGUCAGUGAGUGAUCAGCAAUUGCAUUGCUCUUCAGUCAUUUUGGAAACAGAUAUAAUAUUGUUAUAAUUACUAUGAUUUUCUUUUUCUUUUUCUAUCCUGUAUUUGUAUCUCUCAUUUUGGAAACAAGUAGUAUUAUAAUUACUGUUAUUUGGCUUUUCUCUUCCUUUUCUAUAUUGUUAAAUAGGUUUUAUCUCAACACACAAGUUGUAAUUUGCUUUUUUUUUCCAGUUCUCUCCUCCAUCCCAGUGGGAGUGAGCAAAUGUGUGGAGCUUAGCUGCCUGCUGGGUUUAAAUGACAGUAGUCUUUCUGGCACCCAGAGUGGGGAUUGAAGGGUAGAGAUAAUGGCAGACCUGGCCAGAGAGUGUUAAAAUUGUUAUCAACAUUGAAGUAGUUAAAUAAUUGGUGAUCACGAUGUUGUUUUUCAAUUACUUUUUAGAGUUUUUUCAGAAUCUUAUCUGGGAACUAUAUCAUUUAGCAACUCACUUGCUAUACAUGUUCCCUGUUGUACCGCUUAUCAUCUCUGGAUAGUUAUGAAUGGCAGAGAGUGUGGCAUAGUAUGGGCAGGUGCCCAAAGCGGUGGACUCCCUCAGUGUUUUGGAAUUUCACUUCUGAACAACUGCAGAAUCCUGAAAAACUAGCAAAAUAUUUGGAAAAGGUCUGCUGUGAGCCUGGCAGUUCUAGAGAGGCACAAAACACUGCAGUGUGCUGUGGGCUGGCCCAUGCCAACACUAUUUGGCACUCUCAAAGGAAAGAGAAUGAAUGCCUCUGGAUCUGAUGACAAUGAGAUGGGCCCUGUGGCCAGUCCAAUCCCUGCAAUAGGCCCUGUGGUCAGGGCCUUGCAGUUCAGCCACAGAAUCAACCUGUGCCAGUAUCAGUUAUGUCUACACAUAAGAGAAAAAAAUGUCUGAUCGUUUAGUGAGGAAAGAAAUUCCUACAUAGAUGGAAGAAGAGAUGAAAAUGAGGCAUGACUGUCACAAGAAUGAGAGGAGGGAGAGGAAGAGGACAUAAAGGAGGCAAUAACUGUCCUACCCCUAACCAUGUGCAAGCUAUGAGAAAUGCGAUGGGAUUUCAUCUGUUGUCCAGGUGAGCACAUUGUGCCUUGGCUGCUCCAGUUCUGGGAGACUGGGGUUAGUAGCCUGAACUUAGCGGGCAGUGAAGCCAGGCAGCUGGGAUCUCUUUUUAAGGAAGACGCCAUUGGCUAAACAAUUGGAAAACGGACACAGGUCUUCACUCUGUGGAGGCAACUCUUGACAGCCAUGAGAGGAAGACAUCCCUUCAAGGACCUGGUACAUUACCCAGGCAACUGAACUACCAUGGAGAAAUAUAUCCAAUACCUGAGGGAAUUAGAUGUACUGGGGGUGAUGUAUAAUGUUGACCUGAACAGUGAUCAGUUAUCCCAAGAUCCACUUGACAUUUGUGAGAGGUAGAUUUUUUUUUUUGCAGUGGAAACUUCCAGUACUUUUGUAUGUAGUGUAGAACAAGUUGUUUUUCACAAAGGAAGCUGCUGAACAAAGUAAAGCUGAGACUGGGGCGUUCUGCCCUGGGUAGAACUGGCACAGGCACAAGGUAAGGUAAAUAUGCAGGGGAGGGAGAGCCUGGCACAGGACAGAACGAAUGUGCUACCUUCUGGAAACAUUGCCCUCCUGUCUCCAUGGAAAAGUACAAAACAUACCUAAAAACAGUAGGUUGAUAACAGAUCUUAUAUGAAAAUGUAUCAUAGCAACAGCGUCGGGAAGAUUGUGAGCCUGAGACACUCAGCCAGUGAGUGCCAGGAGAGAGGUUACCUGUGUCAGACCCAAGGUGUAGAAUGCUGUGGAUUUCACUGACUAGUUGCUCAGUUUCUCCCUUGUGCUCACUGCUCAUGUGGCGAAGAUUUGUAAGGAGAGCACCAUGAUCAUAUGCCAACCCAAUAACAGCAACAGCCUGGAAAGACGGAGAUCAGCCAGUGGUGGAUGAAAUGGCUAGCCUACUUUGACAAUAUGAAGAAAAUCUCUCUGCAUCCCUACAGGCCUGUGCCUCAGCUCUGGAGAAACUGUCCUGGGAGUGCUAGCAAUUAAAAGACAGUAUGUCCUACUCCACACCUUUACAGACCAGUAUCUCAGCUAUUAGAAGGAACUCCUGGAGUGACACACACACGAGCAAACUGGAAGGCCAUGUGUGGUAGCAGAAGUUGCAGCCUAUGGUUAGUCACCACAUGCUGGGAGUAAGAGCUCUUGGGGGACAGUCUGCCCAGUCUCUAAGCUGAAAGACAAGGUGUGAGAACAGGACCCCUCUGGACUGACAGUGGGACGAACAGGUGAACACAUGGUGACUGUUUAGAAGAUAUGUCAAAUUUUUCAUAAAACGUAAGAUUUAAAGCCUUUUUGCUUUCUCUCCUCUUCUGCAACAGCUAGAUCUUUAAAGUGGACUGCAGAUGAUAAAUCUGGGUGUAAAAAUAACGAAACGUUGUUCUGGCAUGGCUUCUCGACACUGCAGAUGCUAUUUAUAUGAAAUGUCGCUGAUGGGGCCAGCGCGCCAAAAGUACUUACCGAAAUCAGCCUCUUCAGGCCUACCUUCACGGUGCCAACACAACGCUUCCUUUGACUUUGGUUUUAGCCAAAACCCGGAAUCAUGGGUUAGCCUCAGCAUUAGGGCUCUUGUCUACUGAUUCCUGUCUGUACACUGAUGAUGGUUUCUGUGCACAUCUGUAUGACCAAGGUUGUCCUCCUGCAGCUGUAUCCAGGGAGGAUAAAGAACUGGCGAACACUAAGAUUCACGGGCAUGGGGAGGCAGAGAGAAGAGUUUUGUUCUUGGCUUUGCUGCAGUGAGUGGGUGUGUAAUCUUCAGCAAACCAUUCUGGUGGGAAAGCUCUGCUGCUCCUCUAGCCCCUCAGAGGGCUGGAGGGAGGAAGCAGGAUGAGAAAGAUUCCGGGUAAGACAAAAGAUAAGGAUGAUCACCUACUGGUUACUGUCUUGGGCAAAACAGGCCCAAUCUGUUGAAAAUCGAUUUAAUGUCUUGCCAAUUAAAGUAGAUUUGGAUAGUGAGAAAGGCAGACAAAAAUUAAAAGAGCACUUCCUCCGGCUCCUUUCUUUGCCAGGCUCAGUCCUACUCCUUCAUCCUGUUUUUGUGCCUCCUCCCUGCUCCUCCCCACUCCUCUGAGAUAACUACCAGGUUGUAAAGCCUGCAGCAGACCUGCUGUGCUGCCAUAACCCACCUUGUUUGCAGGUCAUUGCAUGGCAUGAGUUGAAUUGUAUCACUACUGGCAAAGAGGACUAUUUCUAUCAACCACAUAAUAAAAUGAAAAUACGUAGAAAAUAUGCAGUAUUCUUCAAGUAAUUGCACGAGAGCUCUGUCUGUGUAUGAUUUGUCUGCAACUAUUCUGCAGGAAUCUCAUGUAGGCAUCCUGCGUAGAAGACAUCUCACAAAAAGAUAACUUGUAUUCAAAUCCCGCAGCAUGCAGGAACUGUUAGGGCCAUUGAAUACAUGCUGCUGCUUGAAUUUGAGUUAGUGAUAGUUUAGAUUUUAUUGUGAUAGAGAUCCUUACAACUAAAAAAAGCUGAAGCAAUAACUGAAUCUUCCCUAAGACACCUGACAAAUCUUUUGACUUUUGGAAAACUUCAAGGGACGUGACCCCAGAUCUGAUAUUUACGUUCUUUUUAAGCACCAUCUUUAAAAUAAAUCCAGGCAAAACUAUUUAUUGCCAAACUGCUGGGCACUGCACAAGGCAAUCCGUAUCAGGUCUGACAGGUGCUUUUCAGCAAGCAGUAUUAUCACCAUUUUUUUCUGAUCUCUCUCUGUACUUGUAGGAUGUUUUCUGUCUCACUGAUUAGAUAUUUCUCAGGGCACUAUGGUGUCAGUUUCUUCCAAAAAAACAACUUCCAAGUCUCAAGUAUUGUACCUCAGCAUUAAUCACAUAAAUUCUCUUUUUUUUCAUAAAAUUGUCAGCUGCAGAAAAGGAGGAAGGACAACAGCUGUCUCUGUCCUUUGCUAAGUUUGCUUUGACGAAAUGCCAUUCGAGAGCCGGAUUUCUAAAAAUUAACUUCUGAAUGGUUAUGUAAAAGGGGACCAUGAGAGUGUAUUUGAUCUUGGUAAUCAUCUUAAUAAUGAUAAAUCUGAAUGUACCCAGGAAGUUUUACCUACUCCCUGGAGAUACAAUGUUCAAAUACUCUGUGUCAAAUUGAGAUAAAGUGACUGUCAGUGUUCUUUUUAUUAAUACAGGAAUUUAUGUGCUUUUCCUGGAAGAAUAAAGGUUUGCUUCUGUGGCAGUCCUAAAAGAUGUCAGCAUGACAUAUUAGAACCUGAGGACAUCUUCAAACCUAAGAAACUUGUUUUUCUUAUGGACGUGUAGUGUCAGAUAGUAAGAUGAAGUUUCCUUUGAAUUUUGUUUUGCAGCUUCUCUUCCCUUUUUGUUUCCAGAUAUAUGAAUAUGGUGCCAGGUUAUCCAGUGUGUAAGCCAGCUUCAAUUAAAUGGAUGGUAUCAUUAGCAGAAGCUAGCAUUGAUUAAGAUCUCUCAUACUCUUUCAAGUCUGAAGAGAGAGUACUGAUCUGUUUGUCUUUUUUUCCUUCUUUUGCCCCUUCCCCUUUACCCACCCCUACUUCCUAUGGGGCGCUGGCUGAGUUUAGUGUCAGACCCUGCUAAAGAAAAAACUGUGACAAAGACUUGGCAGUUAAUAAGAGAUGUACUGAAAAGAAACCUGCUGCAGGGAAGCAAAAAGCACAUGCUGUACUCCUUGAGAAUGAGAUGAGGUUCUUCACUGCAUCUGUUUGCCCUGUGACUUUGGACAACUCAGUGCAGGGGUUCUGUACCCCAGGAGAACAGCACUGCUGUAUGGGGAGUAGGUUACUCUUCUUUAAUGAGGGUGAAGGAUUGUGCUCCUCACACCUGUCUCUAUAUUAAAAUACACAAAUAAUGUAGACCUUUGUUUUUGUGGAGCAUUUUUGACUCUGAAUAAAAACUUAAAUUACCAAACUCAUACCUACAAUCCUUCACCAUGUAAAAAUACACACAUCUGUGUCUCUAUUCACAAACAAAGUAGUAGUAUUUUGUUUCUUGCUGUAUCCACUAGGAGUGUUUUUACCUAAACUCUUAUAAGAUUGGUCCUAUAUAAUCUGCUGUAUGUUAGUCUUGCUAAAAUACCAUCACUUCAAUAAACCAAUCUUUCAUGAAAAUGAUAGAAGCUUUUAAUAUGCUCAUCUGCUAUAGUGUAAGUAAUCCUUGGGGGAGGGAUAGAGUUACACAUAAAACAGCGCUGGCCUACCAGUUUGCUUACACUGCUUUGUCCUUCCUUAGGUGUUGAGGGAGCAUUUGAUGAGAAGGAUCUGUGUUGAUGCUGAUCUGCUAAGGCAGUGGUAGCACAGGAUCUGGAUGGUAACAAAUCCUCAUCCCUGCUGAUAAUCAUGCCUUCUCUUGCCCACAGAACAUCUCUGUUGGGAACCUGGGAGAAAACUCGAGUGAAAGUGAUUUACUGGGUCACAGAGUCCAAUCUACUGUAUUCACAGUCAGCUCCUCCUUCCAAUGCCCAGCCAGCACCAACAGCUCCAUUCACUCUGGAGUAUCUCCCGAAGAGAAUUUGCCAAAGGAAAUACUGCAGAGCACAUUCAUAGUUCUUCAGUACCCCCUCUUACUGCUCCUAGUGCUGAUAGAACUGUCAACAGUUUUCUUUACUUUGCCCAUGUUCUUUCACAUUUACCUCCUGAAGAAGGCUGAGCUGACCAUCCUUCAGACAAUUUCUGCUGCUUUUUCUCUGACAUCCAACAAGUACAGUCUGAUUGUAUCUCUACUGGGUCUCUCAGUAGUGAUUAAAAACUUUGAGUAAGGUCACACCUCAAGUGACCCAAGACAGGACUUGGCACCAAAAGAUUGAUAUGUGUUCUCUUUCUGCCUUCAGAGUUCUGCCUCAGGGAAAGGGUCAUACUGUCCCUGUCAGGCCCUGUCCAUGCACCAUACGGAGAUCAUUCUUGCCCAGGAGAGUUAUUCAAGUAUAACUCAAACAAAUGAGCAGGUGCAACAAACAGGAGAGUGAAAUUGAAACAGCAGUGGAAUGAUAUUGGCUCGCAAAAUAAACAAAGGUCAAAGCACACCAACUCCUCUCCUGCAGAGCCUACAAAUCACUUAACAAUGGCUGGAAUGAGUUUAAAAGUGUUUGAAGAAAAGUUAUUACUGUUGCUAUGGUUUCUGAGCAUUUGGAAUAGAAUAGAUUCCAACUGUGUUCACAUCUUUUUUAAUAACUCACUGGCUAUUACAGUCCAAGGCUCCUUUAUUCAAAAGUAUUUAUAUUUUUGAACCAAAUUUCCAAUGGCUGAAGAAGCACCCAUGUUUAUAAUUGGGAGGCAGAAUAACUGCUGCCAAAGCUCAAGGAAAAGCAGCUGUGCUGGAAAGCUUUCCAUGAACCAGUGGUACUUUAUUUCUUUUCUGAAGAAAUGUGACUCAAAGCUGCCAUGACUUGUGAUAUUUUCUUCCUGUAAACUCAUGGAAAAAUUGCUACUUUUGAGGUGGUAAUGCAUCAAAUAAAAAAUAAUGUUCCCAGGGAGACAUGACAUUGAAAAUAUGCCCACCUGAGAAUAAUGUGUUUCUCCUUUUUCUCACAGCUUCAGUGGGAGGUGCAUUUGAAUCAGAUAAAGAAUCAGUGUUGACCUUCACUAAUGGAAAACGAUUUUUUUUUUUUUAUCAUGAAGUAUGAUAAUACGACAGGUACUAUGAAAUACUCCCUUUCUUCUCAACUCUGACAAUGAUUCAGAAUUCAGACAUGAAAUAACACUGUUUAAUUCCAUGUCAGAUACUUCCAAUAGGUUGUCAGUUGGCCACAACGUUAUGAAGAUGGUGCCCAAACCUAUUUCAUGCUGUACAUAUUUCAUCUCACCACUCAUCUGUCAGCUAUGAGCCCAGUGCCAGGCGUUCCCCCUCCCUGCCCCCUGGAUUUUAUUAUCAUGCCCUUUAGAAAGCCGCAAUCCCACCAAUUUGUUAUAGUCACUAAUGGCAACGUGCUUGUGCUGGCAUGUGGUUGUUAAACUAGGGUUGGUUUUGAUAACUUUAGACUACUUCUGUCCCGUGUGAUUUCAGUUUAGCAAGAAAAAUUGUUAUCUCCUGCUGGUUCCCUCCUAAAACUCUGUGCUCAGGUAUUGCUGGGCUUAAGCAACCCUGCUCUUUCUCCUUCCCUUCCCUUGCACUCUGUGGUAGGUGCAGUUUUUCAGAUGAUUAGAAAAUAAUGAACAACAACAGCAACAACAGAAAUACCUCCAAUCCCCCCAAACUUGUUUAUUUUGUAGAGUUUUUUUUUAAAUGAUUCAAAUAAUAGGAAUCUAUUGUAUAUCUUGUCCACCCACAGAACUGCAAGGAAGGAAAGCAAGAAGAAGCAAAAUGUCCAGGACUUAGGACUUUCAGCCCAGGAGCUUAAGUUUUUUUCUGUAAUUUCUGUCAAACUGUAAAUCUUAAAGCCAGAUUGUACUACAUUUUGCAGUUAAUAAUAAUCAAGUUUAAAUUAUACCCACUUGCUUUUUCAAGCAAGUGUCUCAGCAAAUAUUUUUGAACUUCAGUAAUCUUUUGUGGGUUUUCUUGUUGUUAGUUUGGUAGCUUUUACUGUUGGAUUAUAUCUCCAGGGAUCAUGUACUUAUCAAUUUCAUGGUAGCUAGGGGUGCAGUUUGUGGAUGACCUGUUGUUAUGCCAUUAGCUCUGUAAGAACCCCAUAUUUUGUCACUUGUGAUGUCGCUUAAUGAGAAACAAGACUCUCACUUUUUAGUAACUCUUCAGAGAGUGUGCUGUUAGAACCAUUUUUUUUCUUUCUUACACAUGCAUGUAUCACAAGGGCAACAUUCCCAACUUUUAUUCGCAUCUUUUAUUGCUGCUGAGCUCAACUGAUGAUUUCAUUCAUGUAGUUGUUUUUCAAAAAUUAAUUUUUAUGGAGGAUG